UCGAGAGAGUUUAUUCGAGGCAACGGGCCGUGGGGGACGUGGCGGCGGAGCCGACGGCGGAGGUGGACAAGCACCGUGGGUUAUUCCUUGUCCUUCGGCCCGUUGAAUCGCGUAGAUUCGCUCGUUGGCUGGCUGACGAGAUAACGGAGAUCGUUGCGGGUCUGCGUGUACCGAGCCAAAUAUGACUUCGAGAGGGGAAAAGGACAGAGAAAAUGGAUAUACGUAUAGCAAAUUGGAUACGAUCGCUCCUGUUGCGUCUGUACAGACAGCAGCAGAUAGUGCGAUCCGGGUUUUGGGAAAUUUGCAAAACUUCGAAAGCGGCGCGUAUUAAAACGAACGACGCAAAUCGGAAAACUUACUGAGAAAAGCGAAUUUGUCCGAAGAAACGGGUCACAAGCGACAAAGAAAAGCAAACACGAGGAUUCACGAGGAAAACGCCAAGGUUAAAGAUGACCGCGCGAGAGAGUGUACGAGGCCCCUCAUGGAUAGACGCAGACAUAGACCAGACCAUUCCUUCAUUCGGUCGGCUCGUUCAUUCAUGCCUCAGCCACACGUUUCAACCGUGUAGUCUGCCCGGCUGAAACUGCCCCCACCAACCAGCUACGCUUUUCCUUCUGCCUCUCGCUGCCGCUGACGUCGCGACGACCGCAAAAGAAUACUAUUCACGGGCCGACGAUCUCGCUCGCGCCAAGAUUUUCUGACGCGUCCCUCCAACACCGGGGGCGGUUUUCCCCGGCAACACGUGCGGGGGAGGAAUGCCCGAUGAAUGAAUCCUCGAGGAGGUUUCGCGUGCUACGCUUCGCUUUUGUGAAUGGAGCCCGACGAUGCUUCUCGUUUCUUUCUUGCCCAAUUUUAACCGAGUAUUCGUUUUUUAACGUUCUCUUUUUGUCGAGACAGUUGGAACAUCCAUAUAGAAAUUAUUUCGCGGUACGCUGUACGUUACGCAUCGUCGAACAAAUUACAAUUAAGAUUAGAGGAAAAGCCAGUCUCUGCAAUCGUUUAAUUAAUUCGGAUGUCUGUUUUAAACUACUAUUGAACUUCGUUCAAGGCUUGUUUCAGCUGUACAAGAUUCUGGAAUAUUCGACGUUUCUAGCGUGACUGCCACGCUCUUUCGUAUUAAAAGAUAUAACGUUAAAGAUGAUGUUAAUUAUCGUUCGAUCCUCGCGUCAAUUUCUAAAGGAAUAUACAUAGUAUACUGGUUACACUAUGUCGUUAUUGGUCAAUGACGCGACGAAUCUCAUUCUUCGACAUACACGAGCUUCUUUAUUGUCGAUAAAAAAUUUGCAAAUUUAUGAUAUCUUUCAUCUUUUCAUUACAUCAAUUUGCUUCGGCUCGAAUACCAUGACAAUUGAUAUUACCAUCACUUGCCCGAUACGACACAGACGUAGUCACCUGACUCGACAAAAAAAGCUACCCAAAGUUGCUUCUACGCUGCGAAAUAAAGUUGGCUUUCAACGCGAUUAGCUUCGCUACGAGUAAAAGUUUUCUCCAUCGUGUCCGCUGGAUAUCGAGUGGCGAGUUUAUGAAUGGUCUCGCACUGCCGGAAAUGCGUCCCGUAAGAAAUUUUUAGCCUUGCCCGCGAGCAAGAAGUUUCACAUUAAUCACCGCGAGGCAACAUCCUCGAGCUGAGAGCGUGUGGCGCGGGAAAGGCGGAGGGACAAGUAGAAAUUACCGACGUUGUUAAAUAGUGUUUGCGUUCGAGCGUACGGCGUAAUUACGUCUCGCCUUCCACCGAAUGCUACGUAUUCUCGUCGAUUAUUCCUCUGAAAACCGGGCUGCCGAGUAUUACGAGGCGACUUCCGUGCCCUGACGCGAGUAGAUCUUGAAUGGAAUCGUUCUACCUUCUUUUUUCAUCCUUUUCGUCCUGCUCCUCCUCCUACUCCUCCUCCUCUUCUUCUCCUUCUUCUCGUCUUGGAAGGAAACGUUGAUUUUUUAAUAAUGAUCCGAAGAUGAUUGGUACGGUGAACCGGUCAUUUCCGAAACGUGGUGAGUCACUACUAUUUUAAAAGUAGCUUGAUAUCCUUGAAACGUUAUUACAUUUCGAGGAAUAAUCGUAAUAAUCGAUAUCGAAAGUAAGCGGUAAAAGUUUGUUGCGAUAGGUUCCAAUCAUAUUUGAUCCAGGAUUUCAUCCACACAAUCUCACUAUCUCGAAACAUUUGCCAAAAUAUUUCAGGAAAUAUUUAUUUACCCUUAACAUUUUACCCUCUAAAUGUACCUAAACGACGGCCAAUCAAAAUAUUGCUGUAGAGACUGUGUGAGUAUAGACUAUAAAUUAAACAAUUG
Bombus terrestris (buff-tailed bumblebee) is the source of this 2283-nucleotide long non-coding RNA. RefSeq lists it as uncharacterized. The transcript has 2 exons. NCBI's taxonomy places the organism in Eukaryota, Metazoa, Arthropoda, Insecta, Hymenoptera, Apidae. The record is from RefSeq and is a predicted model, not a curated record.